Molecule: ribosomal RNA, 253 nt
Filed under: uncultured bacterium
Lineage: Bacteria
Description: partial 16S ribosomal RNA
Rfam family: Bacterial small subunit ribosomal RNA
Source: RNAcentral
UACGUAGGGGGCAAGCGUUGUCCGGAUUUAUUGGGCGUAAAGAGCGUGUAGGCGGUUUGGUAGGUCUGCUGUGAAAACUCGAGGCUCAACCUCGAGACGCCGGUGGAAACCAUCAGACUAGAGUCCGGAAGAGGAGAGUGGAAUUCCUGGUGUAGCGGUGAAAUGCGCAGAUAUCAGGAAGAACACCCGUGGCUAAGGCGGCUCUCUAGUACGGUACUGACGCUGAGACGCGAAAGCGUGGGGAGCGAACAGG